GCCGGGUGUGGUGGUGCACGCCUGUAAUCUCAGCUACUCGGGAGGCUGAGGCAGGAGAAUCGCUUGAACCCAGGAGGCUGAAGUUGCAGUGAGCUGAGAUCACGCCAUUGCACUCCACCCUGGGCAACAGAGUGAGACUCUGUCUCAA
Molecule: non-coding RNA, 148 nt
Filed under: Pan troglodytes (chimpanzee)
Lineage: Eukaryota; Metazoa; Chordata; Mammalia; Primates; Hominidae
Source: Rfam by way of RNAcentral